UAUAUAGAAAUUUGGUAAAUAUAGAUUAAAAAUUAAGUUUGUUUUAUUCUCAAUAACUUCGUUGGCAAAAGCCAUUAAAUUCCACGCGGUAAGUGGCUUACUUGAGGUCUAACGUACUUGAUUAUUUACGUUAGUUAGCAUUUAGACAAAAGGACACACGUUUGUAUAAUACUGGGGUAAAUGGUUAAGUAAGAAGAUAAAAUUACCAAACAUUAGGCUACGCUUUGUUCAGUUUCACUGUGGAAAAGACCGCGAAGUGAAGUAUACACAGUGUGGUUUCUGUGGAUGGCCCGCGUGUCUUCAGCAGCGGCAGAAUCCUCGGAGGAACUGGCCUGACUCAUCUGCAUCUGUGACAGAUUUUGAUGUGGGCCGAUCAUGGGUACGCAUACACAAGAUGUUUAUGACCUGCUCCAGCGAAACAAAGGUGGAUCUGGACUCAAAUCCUCAUUGCAAGUGAUUAAAAAAAAAAAUUCCUUGGAAAAAAGACUGGAGUUGUUUUUGGAGCUUAUGAUGCAGGCAGAUGGGACAGUUGCCCUCAGACCAAAGGAGACGUUGACCUAGAGGGAGAUCGGCAGCGAACUUGCAUGCUAAAACGGCAUGAAAGUUACAGCCCUCAUGUGGGACAAACAGCAGAGAAGGGCUUCACACCAGGCAACACAUGCAAAAUUGACAAGAGGAUGUGGGGGAAAAAAGGGGUUGGACGAGGAUGAAUAAAACAAAUCAUGGUGCUUGACUGGAGGUGAUUUGAAAAAUUCUUUGUCUUCAUUUACGCUUGAGAAUAAUAUUACGUCCCGACAGGAGACUGGGCUAGCGAGAGGCUCCAGUCGCACGCAGGGGAUAAAAAAUUAAUUAAAAGAUGAGAGAAAGAAGAAAGGAUGGAUUGAAAAUAAAUACAGACUGCAAUGCCAAACAGUAGGGUCGUUGUUUCAUUGCGAACGCGGGGAGCCCACUGUAAAAAAUGGAUCAUACCCUGCCUCAGAGAAUUAAACUUAGUUUUUGGGAGUGUUUGUGUUUCUAGAGAAACUUUGUCAGGGGAGAUGAAAGCCACAUCUGCUCCACUUCUUUCCAACUAUACAUACGUGUGAAAACUGUUGGUCUGGCAGGCUAGUAUGGACAAGCAGACCCACCGCCAUGAUGAAAGACAAUGGGUCCGGGCUUAAGCCUAUUAACAGUUGGCAAUGUAGAGCCUUUACCCAUGGCGUUGAGUGGCCCC
Long non-coding RNA from Carassius gibelio (silver crucian carp), 1213 nucleotides. RefSeq lists it as uncharacterized. Lineage: Eukaryota; Metazoa; Chordata; Actinopteri; Cypriniformes; Cyprinidae. The record is from RefSeq and is a predicted model, not a curated record. The transcript has 4 exons.